CUGGUCUUGAGUUUUCAUCUUAUGUCAGCCUCUCAAGUAGCUAAGGUUACAGGCACACUCCACUAUGCCAACAAAGUACCUGUUUUGGGGGUUUGGUCUAGUUUUUUUAAGGUACCCGUUCUUAAACCCAGUGGGGCUGCCCCUUAUUCCUUCCCUCAGAGUCUUUUAGAAGGUGCCAUCCCUCUGGAAGUCCCCCGAGUCCAGCCUCCGAAGCACCACAUGGUUGAUGUCAUCUGCUUUACCUGGCCCAGGCCACCUCCUCGUGAGUUCCCGCAGGUACCUUUCCAGGGCAUCCCAGGACAUUCCAGAAACAGGCAGCGGCAAGCCACUCAACCAGUUUGAC
RNAcentral lists this long non-coding RNA (343 nucleotides) under Cavia porcellus (domestic guinea pig). Its description in RNAcentral is "lncRNA (ENSCPOG00000032255.1)". Lineage: Eukaryota; Metazoa; Chordata; Mammalia; Rodentia; Caviidae. The record is from RNAcentral.